This is a long non-coding RNA of Photinus pyralis (common eastern firefly), 2451 nucleotides long. RefSeq lists it as uncharacterized. The record is from RefSeq and is a predicted model, not a curated record. The transcript has 2 exons. Lineage: Eukaryota; Metazoa; Arthropoda; Insecta; Coleoptera; Lampyridae.
CAAAAAAAGGGUCAGGUGCAUAAAUUGUGAAAACGUUUACCAUGAUAGCUGCGCAAAAAGCAAAUUAGAGAAUGUAUCAGUGAUUGAUGCCGAUAACAUAAAGUGUUGUGUCAGUGCAACUGGUGUCAACAUCUUGCCGAACAAAUCUAAACCUGGUGCAACAACGAUAACGUCGGAAAUGUGUAUUUCCCUGGUUUCAAAAAAGCAUCACACUACUCCAGAUCAACCCAUAAAGGCGGUGGCGUGGGAAUUUGGUGCCGUGAAAAUGUCGACAUAACCCCCAUAAACCUACAUUCGUACUGCAUCGAAAAAACAUUCGAAAUAUGUGGUAUUGCAUGGAAUACAAAGACUGGCGUAAACGGAAACACCAAAAUUAUUAUUCUAUCUUGUUACAGGUCGCCCACAGGCGAUUUUAACGAAUUCUAUUUUAAACUAAAUGCUGUGUUAAAUAGUUUGUUCGAUCAAAAGAGCCACUUUAUAUUAUCAGGGGACCUGAAUGUUGAUCCCACACGAGACACUCGACUGUUCAAUAUGUUAUGUAAUUUACUAAUUUCAUACAAUAUGUAUAGUCUAGUGAAAAUGCCCACCAGAGGAGAUAAAAUUCUAGAUCACAUCUUCACUAGUCUUGAGCCGGUGAAUUAUGUAGUAGAUGAAAAUAUUAUAUGCGAUCAUUUUACUAUACUACUUAACUCCAAUAUAAAGGGCACCACAUAUGUUAAGCGCCCCCGAAGACGCACCAGGAUCUUUACUAAAAAUCAAAUAGGUGAGUAAGUAACGAAAAUUGACUUUCAGUUAUCACUGCUGAGGAGUUAGACGUGGCAUUCAAUGCAUUCAAUAAUACGAUCAUGUAUCACUUCAACUUCCUUUUUCCGAUUCAAGAUGUGACCAGCACUAACAGUAAAAAAGGGUGGGUGACCAAUGAGGUGAGAGUUUCUGCUGCUAAUUUGAAAUCCUUAUGCGCAUUACAAAAAAAAUAUCCCAUUUUAAAAACGUUCUACUUAAAGAAAAAGAAAGAACAUUUUUCUCUUGUCUCCACUACACGUAAAACUAACAUACAGCACAAAAUUCUAAGCUCAGAUAAUAUCGGCAAAAGUACGUGGUCGUUUAUUAACAACAAUAAGGUCCAAAAAGACACUCAAAACUAUAAACUAAUGGAAAAUACGCGGCACAUUGAUGAUCCCCUGGAGGUAGCCAAUCUUUUUAAUAAUCAUUUCAGAAACGCUCCCCUGGACACGAUACACUCAAUAAAAAAUAACGAUCCUACCACUUUAAGCACUAAUACUAACCAGAGAACAAUGUAUCUAUACCCUUUCUGUGAACAGGAACUAAUCCAGUUAAUCAAUAACAAAAUAAAAAGCAAAAGAUCGGCAGGACCUGACGACUUUCCUUGUUUUUUUGGUUCGUAUAAUCUCUCACGUAAUUGUGAGGCCCUUAACAUUUUUAAUUAAUGUAUCCUUUUUAACUGGCGCGUUUCCAGAAGCCCUUAAACUGGCAAAAACUAUCCCAGUUCACAAAAAGGGGAGUAAAUACACUCCAAACAAUUUUAGACCUAUCUCUAUAACAUCCGUCUUCACAAAAAUUUUUGAGUAUUGCUUUUUGGAUAGACUAGAAAGAUUUAUUGAAAAAUGUAAAAUAUUAAUACCUAACCAGUUUGGCUUUAGACCUAAUAAAUCCACAACUGAUGCAAUUCUUUUCUUCUACGAUACAGUGCUUCAGUCGAUAGGAAAAAAAGAACUGCCUAUUGGGAUAUAUUGCGAUAUCACGAAAACAUUUGACUGUGUCAACCAUAAUCUACUGUUACAGAAAUUGUCUUGCUACGGCGUCAGAGGCACUGCCCUGAAUUGGCUGGAAAAGUUUCUACAAAAUCGAACGCAGUAUGUCUCAUUGCGACAUAGUAAUAAGGGAUACACCACUAACAUUAAUUCAGACAUCAUAAAGCUAAACGUGGGUACACCCCAAGGGAGCAUUUUAGCACCGAUCCUCUUUACACUAUUUACAAACGAUGUUCUGAGCUGCAUCCCGGUUGAUGCAACUCUUUCACUAUAUGCGGACGACCCGGCCGUGGUUGUUUCACACCCGGAUGAAAAUGAAUUACGAGCAACAUGUAUAUUAACAAUUGAAAAUUUAUCUAGAUGGUUUGAGAAUAAUCUAUUAUUCUUAAAUCAUAGCAAAACGAAAUUUUUACAAUUUCACAAUUAUCAAAAUACUAAUACUCUUGACAUUAAUAUUUCUGUUAAUGAUGCUAAUUUAGAAAAAUCAUCUACAGUAAAAUUUUUGGGCGUCGUGCUGGAUGACACUCUAAGCUGGACAUCCCACAACGAAAACUUAAUUAAACAAUUAAAUACUGAAUGUUAUCGAGUACGCUACCUUAGGUACUAUCUAGAUGUGAAACAGCUUCGGAUGUUCUACUUUGCCUGCAUUGAAUCGCGGCUCAGGUAUGGUUUGUGCCUU